UACGUAGGUGGCAAGCGUUGUCCGGAUUUACUGGGCGUAAAGAGCGCGCAGGCGGUCGAGUAAGUCGAAUGUGAAAGCCCCCGGCUUAACUGGGGAGGGCCAUUCGAUACUGUUCGACUUGAAGGCAGGAGAGGGCAGCAGAAUUCCCGGUGUAGUGGUGAAAUGCGUAGAUAUCGGGAGGAAUACCAGUGGCGAAGGCGGCUGCCUGGCCUGUUCUUGACGCUGAGGCGCGAAAGCUGGGGGAGCAAACGGG
This 253-nucleotide ribosomal RNA is filed under the name uncultured bacterium. RNAcentral describes it as "partial 16S ribosomal RNA". It matches the Rfam family "Bacterial small subunit ribosomal RNA", at positions 524 to 776 of the family's 1533-position model. The record is from RNAcentral.